GACGAACGCUGGCGGCGUGCUUAACACAUGCAAGUCGAACGGAAAGGCCCUGCUUUUGUGGGGUGCUCGAGUGGCGCACGGGUGAGUAACACGUGAGUAACCUGCCCUUGACUUUGGGAUAACUUCAGGAAACUGGGGCUAAUACCGGAUAGGAGCUCCUGCUGCAUGGUGGGGGUUGGAAAGUUUCGGCGGUUGGGGAUGGACUCGCGGCUUAUCAGCUUGUUGGUGGGGUAGUGGCUUACCAAGGCUUUGACGGGUAGCCGGCCUGAGAGGGUGACCGGCCACAUUGGGACUGAGAGACGGCGCAGACGCGUACGGUAGGCAGCAGUGGGGAAUAUUGCACAAUGGGCGGAAGCCAGAUGCAGCAACGCCGCGUGCGGGAUGACGGCCUUCGGGUUAUAAACCGCUUUCGCCUGUGACGAAGCGUGAGUGACGGUAAUGGGUAAAGAAGCACCGGCUAACUACGUG
RNAcentral lists this ribosomal RNA (468 nucleotides) under uncultured bacterium. RNAcentral's name for it is "partial 16S ribosomal RNA". It matches the Rfam family "Bacterial small subunit ribosomal RNA", at positions 28 to 507 of the family's 1533-position model. The record is from RNAcentral.